This 71-nucleotide transfer RNA is filed under the name Graphis scripta. RNAcentral's name for it is "tRNA-Arg". It matches the Rfam family "tRNA". Rfam says of the family: Transfer RNA (tRNA) molecules are approximately 80 nucleotides in length. Their secondary structure includes four short double-helical elements and three loops (D, anti-codon, and T loops). The record is from RNAcentral. RNAcentral also lists the same sequence under 1 other name. Lineage: Eukaryota; Fungi; Ascomycota; Lecanoromycetes; Ostropales; Graphidaceae.
UUUCUAUUAGCUUAAUGGUAAAGUGAGAUACUUCUAAUAUCUGGAUUAAGGUUCGAAUCCUUGAUAGGAAU